CUACGUUAGCUCAACCUCAUGCUAAUCACAUUAGCCUACAUUAGCUCAACCGUCUCACAGGGGGAGACCGAUCCCGUUGAGGAUAACGCCCUUUUAGUGUAACACCAGAUCCCAAAUGAGUGGAUUUCACAACUUGAAUCUGUUUACACAUUUUAUCACAUGUUUUUAAUACUUCAUUUGUGGAGGUGAAGAAUCUUUUCAACUAAUUUUGAGCAUUUUUUAUGAAAGUUAAACUAUACCUCUUCAGUUAUGUUAACCUAUAUUCUAAUUGUACUAGUCUGUUUAUCAUCAUGAACCUCUGUUGUCCGUCUAGAAACGGUGCUGUUACAGAUACUGCUUGUGUUUAUCAUCAUGAACCUCCUGUUGUCCGUCUAGAAACGGUGCUGUUACAGAUACUGCUUGUGUUUAUCAUCAUGAACCUCCUCUGUUUGUCUGUCUAGAAACGGUGCUGUUACAGAUGCUGCUUGUGUUUAUCAUCAUGAACCUCUGUUGUCCGUCUAGAAACAGUGCUGUUACAGAUACUGCUUGUGUUUGUCAUCAUGUGACGGGAAGAUUAGAACAUGUACCUUUUCUUUAUGUUUAAUGUGAAAACAAGGUUCAUUUCAUUCUAAUUCUGAAGAUGAAUCAAAACAUUUAGGCGUUAAAGUAAAUACAUCGAAGCAAGGUGUAAGGUUGUAAACAGAUGACCUCAAACGAAUGCAGAGAAAAGCUCAGAGUUUAUUCACCCCACUGAAUGCUGUAUUUAUAUGCCACAGCUUGCACAUAACAAAACAAUAAUUGAUAUGUCAAGACAAAGGUAGGGGUGUGACUUCUCAGAAAUGUCCUUCUGUUUCCCAGAACUGCCUGUCGGUCUGUUGUUGAGCGGCUGGUAUCACCCCUCCCCCAUUAUCCCCCAUGUUGUUCCACCUCCUUGUGGGAGGAGCCAGGCGAGGCCACAGAUCAGACUCCUCCAUCUCAUCCCACCAACUCUGUCAGUCCACCAGGCCACUGCAGUAACAGCCAUAUCUUCACAUCACGUAGCUUCAGUACCAUCUCAAUGUGUUGAAGCACCAUCCUGGAUCCUGUGGCAACGUCAAUAUGAAACAGCAUUGACCCGUGAUCACCACCAACCAGGGCUCCACAGCGGUGUCCUUUGAUGGCCAGGAUUUGCUCAAGAUCAACUAAAGGAGAUUUGGAUGGCCCCUUGUCAGUGGCCCUAGGAGUGAAGGGCCCG
Oncorhynchus masou masou (cherry salmon) is the source of this 1213-nucleotide long non-coding RNA. RefSeq lists it as uncharacterized. NCBI's taxonomy places the organism in Eukaryota, Metazoa, Chordata, Actinopteri, Salmoniformes, Salmonidae. The record is from RefSeq and is a predicted model, not a curated record. The transcript has 3 exons.